CUCGUUUCAUGCUUCCUGCAGGCGCUAGCUUGGGCUCUGUUGUAAAGGGUAUUUUUUUGGCUCGGUAGCCAGCUGAAUGCACUUGGUGAAUGUCAUAGAAUGUAAGAAAGCACUGGGACAGCAAUGUGUCUUCUUUGGUCUUUGCCCACAAGCAGCACCCGAGGUUGUCAGGGUGGUGAAGAUGCUAUUGGCAAAGGGAUGACUAGGGAGUGCUAACAACACACUGGGAGCUCCAUCGUUUUGGUGCGUUUCACACUGCUUUUGUAUCUACAGACCUUGCUUGCAUUUUGCCAAGGCUGAGCGCCCCUCGUUUUGACAAAGGGAAGCCGAAAGCCGAGCAGGCGGACCCAAAGCCCUGGUGGGAACCGUAGCAAGACGGCGGCCCUGGACCCUUCGCUGUGUGAUGUCUGAGCAGACCCAGCCGUGCCCCUUGCCCAGACUCAUUUGGGACGCAGAUGGUGCCAGAAGUGGACGCUUGCCAUGCUCCCUCAGGCAAAUGUGUGAAGUGUGUGGGAUCUGUUCCAGCUAACUUUGGGGUCCCGUUAAGACAUAAGUGUUGUCUAACCAAGUAGGAGCAACACCCAUUUCUCCUGGUACUUUGACACUCAGCUUUUCUCAGCUCCUCUCCCUAUCACAUACCUCUGGUAUUGAGCAUUUUUUCCCCAUGUCUUUCAAAUUCUCAGCCCAACUCACUAUCCUAUACCAUCAUUCCUGCAUCAUUCUCCUUUUCCUUCCCAUGCUGCACGUUUUGGUCCUCAAACUAUUAAAACCACAAACUCUCAUUCUCCCCAGGCAUGCCCAAGGCCAUGAGAGGGCAAAGCUCACUCAAUGAGUGCUAGAGGUAAGAAAAGGCUGAUCAUCAGCCAGGAGCCUGCCAGCGCCUGUUUGCAUUUCAGCUCUGUGCCAGACCAUUGGGGUUAAUUUCAGGCUUGGUGGGGCAAUGAACUGCAAUCAGGGCUGCUGGGUAAUGUGGCCACGGUGUGCCCGUGCCCGUCAUCCAAAGCAGCAAAGGGCAAAGCUCAGCUCGGGCCGGCUGGGCUGUGGGGAGCGUGACCGCGGGGUGAAGGUGCAAACGGGAGUGGCCUUGCAAAGGAUAUUGCUGUCCCCCUGGACACUGUAGUGCAUUUUCCCAACCUUGGCAGGAGCUGAAGCUGGUUGAGCUUUCUCCAGAAGACCUUCAAUGGAGUAGAACUCACUUUUAUUUAUUUACAAAUUAGAACUGCUGACAACAUUUCAUUUAUUAGUGAAAUCCUUCUCUCAUCCUAACUGUCCUGAGAGGCUACAUCAAAUAUCCCUCCCUCCCUGCUUCCAACAGAUUAUUAUAUGUUGCAAUGUUUGCCUGGAGAAAUAAAAUCCUAGGGUGCCCUGUUUGGGAUAGUAGUCAAGUGUCUGCUCACUCUUAAACAGCUCCCCUCUACAAUGACCGCCAUGAUGGGCUGUAUAACAAUGCAAGGUCUAUUCUAUUCUAUUCUAUUCUAUUCUAUUCUAUUCUAUUCUAUUCUAUUCUAUUCUAUUCUAUUCUAUUCUAUUCUAUUCUAUUCUAUUCUAUUCUAUUCUAUUCUAUCCUACUCUAUAGUAUACUAUGUACUAUAGUAUGCUGAAUAGAAUAGGAUGCUAAGUCACUGGAGAAGGAUGCAUUACACACCCUGAGCUGAGUGGCUGCUCUAGCCUUUCAUUUUCAAAGGGAAUUUAAUAGAUGUAGGCUGCCCUAAUACAAAACCGAUAAAUAAUAUUCAUGGUCUAUAAACAUAUUCGUAACGGCAGAGCUCCCUCAUGCUUUAUACACAUCACCUUCCUUAUGUAA
Molecule: non-coding RNA, 1804 nt
Organism: Phalacrocorax carbo (great cormorant)
Lineage: Eukaryota; Metazoa; Chordata; Aves; Suliformes; Phalacrocoracidae
Source: RefSeq, a predicted model, not a curated record